Long non-coding RNA from Papaver somniferum (opium poppy), 391 nucleotides. RefSeq lists it as uncharacterized. The record is from RefSeq and is a predicted model, not a curated record. NCBI's taxonomy places the organism in Eukaryota, Viridiplantae, Streptophyta, Magnoliopsida, Ranunculales, Papaveraceae. The transcript has 3 exons.
UCUUGGGGAGAACCGUACUUGAACCGGACCAUUUGUACCGGCUGUUAUUAGCCGUUGAGAUCUAUCUAGGUUUUUAAUCCUAGCCGUUGAGAUCUAUAUAGGAUGUCGAGAACAAAAGAAAAUGAAGAAGCAUUCUUCAGUUCUUUCUUCUUCGUCUCUUCUUCUCACUCAGCGGCAGCAUCAGUUUCUCGAUUCUCUUAGGGUUUGAAUCGAGAUUGAAUAUCAGUAAUAUCAGUGGAUCACCAUCUCUAUCAGGAUUCAGAUAUUGAGAAGAUUAGUCCAAAGGCCAAAGCAGAGAAGAAGGAAGAAUUAGAUUUUUGGGGUUCUCAAGUACUGCACAAUGGCUUGUGGCUGAACCGCUGAACGCUUAAGGAUCGUGAUUUGUUUCAGG